Non-coding RNA from Zootoca vivipara (common lizard), 478 nucleotides. The record is from RefSeq and is a predicted model, not a curated record. NCBI's taxonomy places the organism in Eukaryota, Metazoa, Chordata, Lepidosauria, Squamata, Lacertidae.
CACCCGGAAACCUAUGCCCCCACUAUGGAAGGACAUGGAUCAAGAAUUGGCCCACAGUCACUUACGGACUCACUGUUAAAACCAUGUUUAUGGAAGACAAUCUUACUCGGGGGAAUGAUCGCCAAAGGAGGAGGAGAGCAACAUUCAUCGGCAAGGCGCUUAAACGUGCAAGUUGAAAGAUCUCUGCCCCAAAGACCUUGCAAUCUAACCUUCUACAUGGGAGAUGCGUGUUCCUCCUCAGUGAAUUAAUUCCAGCUUUUGCAACAUCACUGCCUGGGGAGAAGCUUAUUUGAACGAGUCGUGGAUUGCUUUGGUUCAUCCGGUCUGCAAAAGGAGUUUCAAGUCCUAUUAGGCCUCUUGGUGACACUGUCGGUAGGCUGCAGGCUUGGAGAGGACAGGGCAGUCGUUGCCAUGGCGGCCUGUGACCUUGUGCAUACACUGUACCACACGGGACUGAAGGCCUUUCCCACAAGUUGAG